GUCGAGCGGAUGAGAAGAGCUUGCUCUUCGAUUCAGCGGCGGACGGGUGAGUCCUGUUUAGGAAUCUGCCUGGUAGUGGGGGACAACGUUUCGAAACCUUCGCUAAUACCGCAUACGUCCUACGGGAGAAAGCAGGGGACCUUCGGGCCUUGCGCUAUCAGAUGAGCCUAGGUCGGAUUAGCUAGUUGGUGGGGUAAAGGCUCACCAAGGCGACGAUCCGUAACUGGUCUGAGAGGAUGAUCAGUCACACUGGAACUGAGACACGGUCCAGACUCCUACGGGAGGCAGCAGUGGGGAAUAUUGGACAAUGGGCGAAAGCCUGAUCCAGCCAUGCCGCGUGUGUGAAGAAGGUCUUCGGAUUGUAAAGCACUUUAAGUUGGGAGGAAGGGCAUUAACCUAAUACGUUAGUGUUUUGACGUUACCGACAGAAUAAGCACCGGCUAACUCUGUGCCAGCAGCCGCGGUAAUACAGAGGGUGCAAGCGUUAAUCGGAAUUACUGGGCGUAAAGCGCGCGUAGGUGGGUCGUUAAGUUGGAUGUGAAAUCCCCGGGCUCAACCUGGGAACUGCAUCCCAAACUGGCGAGCUAGAGUAUGGUAGAGGGUGGUGGAAAUUCCUGUGUAGCGGUGGAAUGGGGAGAUAUAGGAAAGAACAACCGUGGCGAAAGGGAACACCUGGACUGGUACUGGACCUGAGGUGGGGAAACGUGGGGAGGCAAAAGGAUUAAAUUACCCUGGUAGCCACCGCCCGAAACAAGGUAACUAACCCGUUGGGGGCCUUGAGACCUUUAUGGCGGCGCCUUACGCAUUAAUUUGAACGCCCGGGGGGGGACCGGCGGCAGGGGUUAAAA
RNAcentral lists this ribosomal RNA (848 nucleotides) under uncultured bacterium. RNAcentral describes it as "bacterial SSU rRNA". It matches the Rfam family "Bacterial small subunit ribosomal RNA", at positions 61 to 873 of the family's 1533-position model. The record is from RNAcentral.